AUGCACCAGGCUCUUGAAGAACCCAUUGCUCAAAAUCUGCAUGCAUCGGGAUGGAAUAAAGAGAAGUAUUAUAUCUCAGCUUGUCAAUCCACAAAACAAGGUCAAACAAUUAUAUAUGGAGCACAUGGAAUUACUACUGCUAAUCCACAUUACCUCCAUUAUAUCCCCUACGUUCAUAAUCAAUGCAUUUGGAACGAUGGGCACGUUGUACCAGACGCCGUUUCUCUGAAGCUGGAGCCCCUCAGCAUCGGCGAAGUUGACUGUGAUUAUGGAGCCAUCGGUAUGGGCCUUGAGGCCCAAGACGUGGUCCGGCCUUGGACACUGAGGGUAAUAGUUGAAUAUAGCUUGGGUGAUGGAGUUCUCCCCGAUCAUGUUUACCAGGUGUUCCUCUUGUAA
Molecule: ribosomal RNA, 396 nt
Filed under: Triticum aestivum (bread wheat)
Lineage: Eukaryota; Viridiplantae; Streptophyta; Magnoliopsida; Poales; Poaceae
Description: partial small subunit ribosomal RNA
Source: RNAcentral